This 75-nucleotide transfer RNA is filed under the name Ignavibacteriota bacterium. RNAcentral's name for it is "Ignavibacteriae bacterium tRNA-His". It matches the Rfam family "tRNA". From Rfam's summary of the family: Transfer RNA (tRNA) molecules are approximately 80 nucleotides in length. Their secondary structure includes four short double-helical elements and three loops (D, anti-codon, and T loops). Lineage: Bacteria; Pseudomonadati; Ignavibacteriota. The record is from RNAcentral. RNAcentral also lists the same sequence under 2 other names.
GCGGGUAUAGCUCAGUUGGCAGAGCGUCAGAUUGUGGCUCUGAAAGUCACGGGUUCGAGCCCCGUUACUCGCCCA